This 524-nucleotide ribosomal RNA is filed under the name Kenopia striata (striped wren-babbler). Its description in RNAcentral is "partial 16S ribosomal RNA". It matches the Rfam family "Bacterial large subunit ribosomal RNA", at positions 1843 to 2576 of the family's 2925-position model. Lineage: Eukaryota; Metazoa; Chordata; Aves; Passeriformes; Timaliidae. The record is from RNAcentral.
GUAUGGAAGGUGAUGCCUGCCCGGUGACUUAGUUAAACGGCCGCGGUAUCCUAACCGUGCAAAGGUAGCGCAAUCAGUUGUCCCGUAAAUCGGGACUAGUAUGAAUGGCUAAACGAGGUCCUAACUGUCUCUUACAGGCAAUCGGUGAAAUUGAUCUCCCUGUACAAAAGCAGGGAUAACUCCAUAAGACGAGAAGACCCUGUGGAACUUUAAAAUCAGCGGCCACCCCAUAUUACUUACAAACCCACCUGGGCUCACUAUUCUAUGGGCCACUGGCUCGCAAUUUUUCGGUUGGGGCGACCUUGGAGCAAAACAAAACCUCCAAAUCUUGGACCAUAAAUCUAGACUAAGAGCAACCUCUCAACGUGCUAACAGCAACCAGAUCCAAUAUAAUUGAUCAAUGGACCAAGCUACCCCAGGGAUAACAGCGCAAUCUCCUCCGAGAGUCCAUAUCGACGGGGAGGUUUACGACCUCGAUGUUGGAUCAGGACAUCCUAGUGGUGCAGCCGCUACUAAGGGCUCGU